Non-coding RNA from Xylariomycetidae sp. FL0641, 95 nucleotides. NCBI's taxonomy places the organism in Eukaryota, Fungi, Ascomycota, Sordariomycetes. The record is from the annotation of a GenBank genome assembly.
GCUGAGAUGGCCGAGUGGUUAAGGCGGCGGUUUUAAGCUUUCCAGCUUCCACACCGCUAUCGAAAGAUGCAAGGGUUCGAACCCCUUUCUCAGCA